AGUGAACGCUGGCGGUAGGCCUAACACAUGCAAGUCGAACGGCAGCACAGUAAGAGCUUGCUCUUACGGGUGGCGAGUGGCGGACGGGUGAGGAAUACAUCGGAAUCUACUUUUUCGUGGGGGAUAACGUAGGGAAACUUACGCUAAUACCGCAUACGACCUACGGGUGAAAGCAGGGGAUCUUCGGACCUUGCGCGAUUGAAUGAGCCGAUGUCGGAUUAGCUAGUUGGCGGGGUAAAGGCCCACCAGGGCGACGAUCCGUAGCUGGUCUGAGAGGAGGGUCGCCCCCAUUGGACGUGAGACCCGGUCCGGCUCCCUAGGGGAGGCACCAUUGGGAAUAUUGGGCAAUGGGGGGAAGCCUUGUCCCGCCCUACCGGGGUGGUGAAAGAAGCCUUCCGGUUGUAAAACCCUUUUGUUGGGAAAAAAAAACAGCCGGUUUAUACCCCGGCGUUCUGACGGUACCCAAAAGAUAAGCACCGGCUAACUUCGUU
RNAcentral lists this ribosomal RNA (491 nucleotides) under uncultured bacterium. RNAcentral describes it as "partial 16S ribosomal RNA". It matches the Rfam family "Bacterial small subunit ribosomal RNA", at positions 29 to 507 of the family's 1533-position model. The record is from RNAcentral.